GGUGAAUGCUGGCGGCGUGGAUAAGUCAUGCAAGUCAAGGGGGCCCGCAAGGGCAACCGGCAAACGAGGUAGUAACACGUAGGUAGACCCCCCAGAGUCGGGCAUAGCCAGCCGAAAGGUUGGGUAAUUCCCGAUAGUCCCGAAAGGGUAAAGGUUUUUCGCUCUGGGAGUUGCCUGCGUAGUAUCAGCUAGUUGGUAGGGUAAUGGCCUACCAAGGCUACGACGCUUAGGGGAGCUGAGAGGCUGACCUCCACCGAUGGAACUGCGACACGGUCCAUACUCCUACGGGAGGCUGCAGACGAGAAUAUUCCGCAAUGGGCGAAAGCCUGACGGAGCGACGCCGCGUGAUUGAUGAAGUGCUUCGGUACGUAAAGAUCUUUAUCGGGGACGAAGUUUAUUGACGGUACCCGAUGAAUAAGGGGCUCCUAACUCUGUGCCAGCAGCGCGGUAAU
RNAcentral lists this ribosomal RNA (452 nucleotides) under uncultured bacterium. Its description in RNAcentral is "bacterial SSU rRNA". It matches the Rfam family "Bacterial small subunit ribosomal RNA", at positions 28 to 524 of the family's 1533-position model. The record is from RNAcentral.